Molecule: non-coding RNA, 126 nt
Filed under: Parus major (Great Tit)
Lineage: Eukaryota; Metazoa; Chordata; Aves; Passeriformes; Paridae
Also listed under: 1 other name
Source: RNAcentral
GUGUUGUAUGAAAGGAGAGAAGAUCAGCACUCCCCUUGAAAAGGAUGGAAGAGGCCCUUAUGGCCUAUACAAAAUUCAUACAGUUAAGGCACUGCCAUCUACUUGGUGGCAUCUAACCAUGUUUAA